GCACGCGCGCUACACUGACGGAGCCAACGAGUACUAUCCUUGGCCGAGAGGUCCGGGUAAUCUUGUUAAACUCCGUCGUGCUGGGGAUAGAGCAUUGCAAUUAUUGCUCUUCAACGAGGAAUUCCUAGUAAGCGCAAGUCAUCAGCUUGCGUUGAUUACGUCCCUGCCCUUUGUACACACCGCCCGUCGCUAGUACCGAUUGAAUGGCUUAGUGAGGCUUCCGGAUUGGUUUAGAGAAGGGGGCAACUCCAUCUCGGAACUGAAAAGCUAGUCAAACUUGGUCAUUUAGAGGAACUAAAAGUCGUAACAAGGUUUCCGUAGGUGAACCUGCGGAAGGAUCAUUACAGAAUCUCUUCUAAAGUUUUGUUAUGAGUAAUUAUUCUAGCGCUGCUGAAAUAUUGCGUGCGCGGUUGGUUGCUUGUGAUAAUUCUUUGGGAAAACUCUAUACACUUUGUUUUCUUAUUAGAGACAAACUUGCUUUGGUCAGAUGUGCGUAAAACCACGACUGAUCAGAGAUUAAAUAAAACUCAUUUUUGUUUUCGGGCAAAAAACGUGUAUUAUUCAUAGUCAAAACUUGAAGCUAUUCUUUAUUGAAUUGCUGAACUAAACUUAAAACUUUCAACAACGGAUCUCUUGGUUCUCGCAUCGAUGAAGAACGCA
RNAcentral lists this ribosomal RNA (660 nucleotides) under Saccharomycetales sp. LM580. RNAcentral describes it as "bacterial SSU rRNA". The stretch from base 1 to 344 matches the Rfam family "Eukaryotic small subunit ribosomal RNA", at positions 1489 to 1831 of the family's 1831-position model. Lineage: Eukaryota; Fungi; Ascomycota; Saccharomycetes; Saccharomycetales. The record is from RNAcentral.